This 440-nucleotide ribosomal RNA is filed under the name uncultured bacterium. Its description in RNAcentral is "partial 16S ribosomal RNA". It matches the Rfam family "Bacterial small subunit ribosomal RNA", at positions 338 to 795 of the family's 1533-position model. The record is from RNAcentral.
CCUACGGGAGGCAGCAGUGGGGAAUAUUGCACAAUGGGGGGAACCCUGAUGCAGCGACGCCGCGUGGGUGAGGAAGUACUUCGGUAUGUAAAGCCCUAUCAGCAGGGAAGAAAAUGACGGUACCUGACUAAGAAGCCCCGGCUAACUACGUGCCAGCAGCCGCGGUAAUACGUAGGGGGCAAGCGUUAUCCGGAUUUACUGGGUGUAAAGGGAGCGUAGACGGCGUGCCAAGUCUGAUGUGAAAGGCCGGGGCUCAACCCCGGGACUGCAUUGGAAACUGGCAUGCUGGAGUGGCGGAGGGGCAAGCGGAAUUCGUAGUGUAGCGGUGAAAUGCGUAGAUAUUGGGAGGAACACCGAUGGCGAAGGCAGCUUGCUGGACGGUAACUGACGUUGAGGCUCGAAAGCGUGGGGAGCGAACAGGAUUAGAUACCCUAGUAGUC